Long non-coding RNA from Magallana angulata, 468 nucleotides. RefSeq lists it as uncharacterized. NCBI's taxonomy places the organism in Eukaryota, Metazoa, Mollusca, Bivalvia, Ostreida, Ostreidae. The transcript has 3 exons. The record is from RefSeq and is a predicted model, not a curated record.
CGAGGAUAUUAUGGUGCUGAGUGUCAACAAGAAUGUAGACACUGCCGUGACUUUACUCAGUGCUUCCACACCAACGGGUCAUGCUUAACUGGGUGUGAAGCUGGUUAUCAUGGACAAAAAUGUGAAGCACCUUGCCCAUAUGGAUUGUUUGGACCGGAUUGUCUAGAAAAAUGUAACUGCACAUGUGAUGGUUGUAACAGAUUCAAUGGUUCCUGUGAUUCUGGGCGGCAGGGAUACGAGUGUCAAGAUGUUAAUGUCGCCCUCAACAAACCAGCGUACCUACAGUACCCUGUACCAAAUGACAGACGUGACGCCAGAUUUGACGCCAGUAACGCUGUAGACGGACGUAAAUCAGACCUGGGACGGAAUGGAGGUCAAUGUGCUACAUCAAAUAAUAGACAAACCGCCACCUGGUGGGUAAAUCUGACCACCAUCCACAGCAUCCACCACAUUACCAUUUACUUCAGG